This 504-nucleotide ribosomal RNA is filed under the name uncultured bacterium. RNAcentral's name for it is "bacterial SSU rRNA". It matches the Rfam family "Bacterial small subunit ribosomal RNA", at positions 39 to 524 of the family's 1533-position model. The record is from RNAcentral.
GCCCUUCAGGCCUAACACAUGCAAGUCGAACGGAAAGGCCCUUUCGGGGGUACUCGAGUGGCGAACGGGUGAGUAACACGUGGGUGAUCUGCCCUGCACUUUGGGAUAAGCCUGGGAAACUGGGUCUAAUACCGAAUACACCCUGCUGGUCGCAUGGCCUGGUGGGGGAAAGUGCGGUGUGUAAUAGCACUGUGCGGUGUGGGAUGGGCCCGCGGCCUAUCAGCUUGUUGAUGGGGUGAUGGCCUACCAAGGCGACGACGGGUAGCCGGCCUGAGAGGGUGUCCGGCCACACUGGGACUGAGAUACGGCCCAGACUCCUACGGGAGGCAGCAGUGGGGAAUAUUGCACAAUGGGCGCAAGCCUGAUGCAGCGACGCCGCGUGGGGGAUGACGGCCUUCGGGUUGUAAACCUCUUUCACCAUCGGCGAAGCCCAUGAUUUUUGUUGUGGGUGACGGUAGGUGGAGAAGAAGCACCGGCCAACUACGUGCCAGCAGCCGCGGUAAU